AGGGUUUGAUCAUGGCUCACAACGAACGCUGGCGGCAGGCUUAACACAUGCAAGUCGAACGCACUCUUCGGAGUGAGUGGCAGACGGGUGAGUAACGCGUGGGAACCUACCCUUUUCUACGGAAUAACGCAGGGAAACUUGUGCUAAUACCGUAUACGCCCUUCGGGGGAAAAAUUUAUCGGGGAAGGAUGGGCCCGCGUUGGAUUAGCUAGUUGGUGGGGUAAUGGCCUACCAAGGCGACGAUCCAUAGCUGGUCUGAGAGGAUGAUCAGCCACAUUGGGACUGAGACACGGCCCAAACUCCUACGGGAGGCAGCAGUGGGGAAUAUUGGACAAUGGGCGCAAGCCUGAUCCAGCCAUGCCGCGUGAGUGAUGAAGGCCCUAGGGUUGUAAAGCUCUUUCAACGGUGAAGAUAAUGACGGUAACCGUAGAAGAAGCCCCGGCUAACUUCGUGCCAGCAGCCGCGGUAAUACGAAGGGGGCUAGCGUUGUUCGGAAUUACUGGGCGUAAAGCGCACGUAGGCGGAUAUUUAAGUCAGGGGUGAAAUCCCAGAGCUCAACUCUGGAACUGCCUUUGAUACUGGGUAUCUUGAGUAUGGAAGAGGUGAGUGGAAUUCCGAGUGUAGAGGUGAAAUUCGUAGAUAUUCGGAGGAACACCAGUGGCGAAGGCGGCUCACUGGUCCAUUACUGACGCUGAGGUGCGAAAGCGUGGGGAGCAAACAGGAUUAGAUACCCUGCUAGUCCACGCCGUAAACGAUGAAUGUUAGCCGUCGGGCAGUAUACUGUUCGGUGGCGCAGCUAACGCAUUAAACAUUCCGCCUGGGGGAGUACGGUCGCAAGAUUAAAACUCAUAGGAAUUGACGGGGCCCGCACAAGCGGUGGAAGCAUG
RNAcentral lists this ribosomal RNA (887 nucleotides) under uncultured Alphaproteobacteria bacterium. Its description in RNAcentral is "bacterial SSU rRNA". It matches the Rfam family "Bacterial small subunit ribosomal RNA", at positions 8 to 941 of the family's 1533-position model. The record is from RNAcentral. Lineage: Bacteria; Pseudomonadati; Pseudomonadota; Alphaproteobacteria.